This 1443-nucleotide small RNA is filed under the name Histoplasma capsulatum. RNAcentral describes it as "hypothetical RNA". The record is from RNAcentral. Lineage: Eukaryota; Fungi; Ascomycota; Eurotiomycetes; Onygenales; Ajellomycetaceae. RNAcentral also lists the same sequence under 1 other name.
GAUAGAUGUACUGCGGUCUCUACUCUCUGCCGAGGAUCAACGGGUGUGGCGCUGGACGGGUUGGGCUUGGCGCUGCACCGCUACAUUCCUCGUUGUAGCGAGAAGAAGAUGGAAAAUUAACUGAGCAUCACUGUGGUUAGGACUGGAUAAGAGACAUAUCAAUCCAGCUUAGUCGCUGUGCUCUCUUCAAGUGUUUUGGAACCUUGCAAUUCGAUGGCGUGGUGAGUACUUCUCGAUGCCAAGCAAUAGUUAUGCCAACCAGCGUCAGUUAAGUAGAAGAAUAGAAGAAUAGAAGAAUACUAGAACUCGCAUCUACUGUAAGUGAAGGGCUCUCGGUACUAGCACUAGGCUAUUUUUUAGUAGCUUUGCCUACGGUCCUAGCAUUCUCAAUAACCACUAGUACUCGUAAUAAGCGCUGAAGAACAGACGUGUGUGCCGUCGCCAUCAUGAUCAUACCGGUUGAGCCUGUUCAAUUCUCCUAAUUGUCCCACGUGGCGAACUAAACUCUGCGCAAUCGCACCAACUGACAUCAUGAUGACACCCAGCUGGCUGGAAAAUUGGAAAAAGAAAGAAAAGAAAAAGAAAAAGAAAAAGAAAAAAGGGUUCAGCAUGUCUGGGCGGGCAUGAAAAUCUGAAUCCCUGGCUGAACAAAUUCUCAACCCAGCACGCCCAUCCAGCGAUUCUUGAUGAACUCCGGAAACUUCAACUUUUCAAUCAAAGAUCGUUGACUCAAGUGCUCACCGCGCUCAGCUUUGCCAAUGCCAUUCUCACCCCAUCUAGAAUACAAACCGCCAUCUUACUACCAAAGACGAAGGGGUGGUGGAGAUCGGGGUUGGGCGUUUGCAGGGUACAGUUGAACGCGGCUCAAUAAAAGCUGAUCACGAAUUGGAUGUUUGUCAAGAGAUUUCGAACCAUGGCAUUUGUUGUACAGUACAUUAUCUUAAGGAUUGUCCCCACAAGAUUGCAUGGUCUAUAAUUGUUCGAACUUCUGUCCAACGCUUGUCAAUAUAAUUUUCAACCCGUUAGAGUACGCCCACGUGCAUACAUAUAUACAUGGGGCAGAAUUAAAUUGCUAACACAGGAUUAGCGAUGGAAUUGGCGGUUUGGAAUUAGGAUUAGAGCUUGAUAGAGUUACUUGCGCCUAGAAGCACAGGGCAAAGGGAUAUACUAUAACCAUUCGAAAAGUCGAAAAGAGGUCAAAAUGGAGCCCUGUUCAACUCUGGACCCUGCCACCCCAUCCCUGCCAUUGCUGUCGAGUUUGAACCACGUUCAACUGAACGCCCCAACUUCUGUUGCGGUGUUUGUCAAGGAAAGUCCCACUUAUUCGCAUUCAAAAAAUACAUGCUAUUGUUCCAGGAACAUGGUUGGUAGUACUACAGAAGACUACGAGCACAGGCGGGAGACGACUGUCAAAGCGCGAAUCUAUCUUCGCAGUAUAGCCAG